ACGAACGCUGGCGGCGUGCUUAACACAUGCAAGUCGAACGGAAAGGCCCUGCUUUUGUGGGGUGCUCGAGUGGCGAACGGGUGAGUAACACGUGAGUAACCUGCCCUUGACUUUGGGAUAACUUCAGGAAACUGGGGCUAAUACCGGAUAGGAGCUCCUGCUGCAUGGUGGGGGUUGGAAAGUUUCGGCGGUUGGGGAUGGACUCGCGGCUUAUCAGCUUGUUGGUGGGGUAGUGGCUUACCAAGGCUUUGACGGGUAGCCGGCCUGAGAGGGUGACCGGCCACAUUGGGACUGAGAUACGGCCCAGACUCCUACGGGAGGCAGCAGUGGGGAAUAUUGCACAAGGGGUGGAAGCCUGAUGCAGCAACGCCGUGGGCGGGAUGACGGCCUUCGGGUUGUAAACCGCUUUCGCUCAUGACGAAGCUUUGUGUGACGGUAGUGGGUAAAGAAGCACCGGCUAACUACGUG
This 468-nucleotide ribosomal RNA is filed under the name uncultured bacterium. RNAcentral describes it as "partial 16S ribosomal RNA". It matches the Rfam family "Bacterial small subunit ribosomal RNA", at positions 29 to 507 of the family's 1533-position model. The record is from RNAcentral.